Molecule: transfer RNA, 79 nt
Filed under: Kiritimatiellia bacterium
Lineage: Bacteria; Pseudomonadati; Kiritimatiellota; Kiritimatiellia
Also listed under: 1 other name
Description: Kiritimatiellae bacterium (gut metagenome) tRNA-Leu
Rfam family: tRNA
About the family: Transfer RNA (tRNA) molecules are approximately 80 nucleotides in length. Their secondary structure includes four short double-helical elements and three loops (D, anti-codon, and T loops). Further hydrogen bonds mediate the characteristic L-shaped molecular structure. tRNAs have two regions of fundamental functional importance: the anti-codon, which is responsible for specific mRNA codon recognition, and the 3' end, to which the tRNAs corresponding amino acid is attached (by aminoacyl-tRNA synthetases). tRNAs cope with the degeneracy of the genetic code in two manners: having more than one tRNA (with a specific anti-codon) for a particular amino acid; and 'wobble' base-pairing, i.e. permitting non-standard base-pairing at the 3rd anti-codon position.
Source: RNAcentral
GCACCUGUGGUGGAAUGGCAGACACGGUGGAUUUAGGUUCCACUGCGAAAGCGUGGGGGUUCGAGUCCCUCCAGGUGCA